RNAcentral lists this ribosomal RNA (253 nucleotides) under uncultured bacterium. RNAcentral's name for it is "partial 16S ribosomal RNA". It matches the Rfam family "Bacterial small subunit ribosomal RNA", at positions 524 to 776 of the family's 1533-position model. The record is from RNAcentral.
UACGAACCGUACGAGCGUUAUUCGGAAUUACUGGGCUUAAAGGGUGCGUAGGCUGUGCGGAAAGUUGGGCGUGAAAUACCUCAGCUUAACUGAGGAACUGCGUUCAAAACUACCGUGCUCGAGGGAGACAGAGGUAAGCGGAACUGAGGGUGGAGCGGUGAAAUGCGUUGAUAUCCUCAGGAACACCGGUGGCGAACGCGGCUUACUGGGUCUCUUCUGACGCUGAUGCACGAAAGCUAGGGUAGCAAACGGG